UACGUAGGGUGCGAGCGUUGUCCGGAAUUAUUGGGCGUAAAGAGCUCGUAGGCGGUGUGUCACGUCGUUCGUGAAAACCUGCAGCUUAACUGUGGGCGUGCGGUCGAUACGGGCAUCACUGGAGUUCGGCAGGGGAGACUGGAAUUCCUGGUGUAGCGGUGGAAUGCGCAGAUAUCAGGAGGAACACCGGUGGCGAAGGCGGGUCUCUGGGCCGAUACUGACGCUGAGGAGCGAAAGCGUGGGGAGCGAACAGG
This 254-nucleotide ribosomal RNA is filed under the name uncultured bacterium. RNAcentral's name for it is "partial 16S ribosomal RNA". It matches the Rfam family "Bacterial small subunit ribosomal RNA", at positions 524 to 776 of the family's 1533-position model. The record is from RNAcentral.